This 228-nucleotide long non-coding RNA is filed under the name Olea europaea (common olive). RNAcentral's name for it is "long non-coding RNA (OEUR_LNC001546)". Lineage: Eukaryota; Viridiplantae; Streptophyta; Magnoliopsida; Lamiales; Oleaceae. The record is from RNAcentral.
ACAAUGAUCAAUAUAAUAGUUAUAAGUGUUUGGAUCACAGUUCAACACUACAAAACUGCUUGAUACAUAUCUAUGUCCAUAAUAAACAUUGGCAUUACAUAUUCAAACAGAAAUACCACAAAAGUUCAAAAUCAUACCUAAUCUUAAAAGAAUAAUGAUGAAAAUUAAGUUGCUUCGUAUUCUUGAUAUAAAUAGGACAUCAUGAAAGAAUAUAGUAUAACUACCACG